UAAUACGGUAGGCGGCCAAGCCUUGUCCCGGAUUUAUCGGGCCUUACACACGAGCGCAGGGCGGUUUUUUAAGUCGGAUGCAAAAGCCUUCGGCUCAACCGAAGAAGUGCAUCGGAAACUGGGAAACUUGAGUGCAGAAGAGGACAGUGGAACUCCAUGUGUAGCGGUGAAAUGCGUAGAUAUAUGGAAGAACACCAGUGGCGAAGGCGGCUGUCUGGUCUGUAACUGACGCUGAGGCUCGAAAGUAUGGGUAGCAAACAGGAUUAGAUACCCUGGUAGUCCAUACCGUAAACGAUGAAUGCUAAGUGUUGGAGGGUUUCCGCCCUUCAGUGCUGCAGCUAACGCAUUAAGCAUUCCGCCUGGGGAGUACGGCCGCAAGGCUGAAACUCAAAGGAAUUGACGGGGGCCCGCACAAGCGGUGGAGCAUGUGGUUUAAUUCGAAGCUACGCGAAGAACCUUACCAGGUCUUGACAUACUAUGCAAAUCUAAGAGAUUAGACGUUCCCUUCGGGGACAUGGAUACAGGUGGUGCAUGGUCGUCGUCAGCUCGUGUCGUGAGAUGUUGGGUUAAGUCCCGCAACGAGCGCAACCCUUAUUAUCAGUUGCCAGCAUUAAGUUGGGCACUCUGGUGAGACUGCCGGUGACAAACCGGAGGAAGGUGGGGAUGACGUCAAAUCAUCAUGCCCCUUAUGACCUGGGCUACACACGUGCUACAAUGGAUGGUACAACGAGUUGCGAACUCGCGAGAGUAAGCUAAUCUCUUAAAGCCAUUCUCAGUUCGGAUUGUAGGUUGCAACUCGCCUACAUGAAGUCGGAAUCGCUAGUAAUCGCGGAUCAGCAUGCCGCGGUGAAUACGUUCCCGGGCCUUGUACACACCGCCCGUCACACCAUGAGAGUUUGUAACACCCAAAGUCGGUGGGGUAACCUCUAGGAACCAGCCGCCUAAUGGGGACCG
RNAcentral lists this ribosomal RNA (954 nucleotides) under Lactiplantibacillus plantarum. RNAcentral's name for it is "bacterial SSU rRNA". It matches the Rfam family "Bacterial small subunit ribosomal RNA", at positions 521 to 1469 of the family's 1533-position model. Lineage: Bacteria; Bacillati; Bacillota; Bacilli; Lactobacillales; Lactobacillaceae. The record is from RNAcentral.